GACGAACGCUGGCGGCGUGCUUAACACAUGCAAGUCGAACGGAAAGGCCCUGCUUUUGUGGGGUGCUCGAGUGGCGAACGGGUGAGUAACACGUGAGUAACCUGCCCUUGACUUUGGGAUAACUUCAGGAAACUGGGGCUAAUACCGGAUAGGAGCUCCUGCUGCAUGGUGGGGGUUGGAAAGUUUCGGCGGUUGGGGAUGGACUCGCGGCUUAUCAGCUUGUUGGUGGGGUAGUGGCUUACCAAGGCUUUGACGGGUAGCCGGCCUGAGAGGGUGACCGGCAACAGUGGGACGGAGAUACGGCCCGGACCCCUGCGGGGGGCAGGAGGGGGGAAUAUUCCACAGGGGGGGGAAGCCUGAGGCAGAACCGCCGGGGGGGGGAUGGCGGCUUUGGGGUUUUAACCCGCUUCCGCCUGUGAAGAAGGGUGAGGGAGGGAAAGGGGUAAAGAAACCCGGACAAACUACGUG
Molecule: ribosomal RNA, 468 nt
Filed under: uncultured bacterium
Lineage: Bacteria
Description: partial 16S ribosomal RNA
Rfam family: Bacterial small subunit ribosomal RNA
Source: RNAcentral